This 226-nucleotide long non-coding RNA is filed under the name Mytilus galloprovincialis (Mediterranean mussel). Lineage: Eukaryota; Metazoa; Mollusca; Bivalvia; Mytilida; Mytilidae. The record is from RNAcentral.
UUAUUGGUACAAUUAUCAAUGUCUAGUAAAUUCAAUGUCUUUAAUAAGGUGCAUACUAUUCAAUUAUGCAAAAUAUUGUGAAUGACAUAUAAUAAUGUCAAUUUAGUAAUACUUCAUAAAUUACAUUCGAAAUCAUAUGUUCUAGUUUGGACACAGAUGGCCAUAGUUGUAUAAGGCUCAAUUUUUCAGAUUGUUUUUUAUUCAACUGUGUACUUAAUUGACCUUC